Molecule: ribosomal RNA, 509 nt
Filed under: uncultured bacterium
Lineage: Bacteria
Description: partial 16S ribosomal RNA
Rfam family: Bacterial small subunit ribosomal RNA
Source: RNAcentral
UAGGGAAUCUUCCACAAUGGACGAAAGUCUGAUGGAGCAACGCCGCGUGAGUGAUGAAGGGUUUCGGCUCGUAAAACCCUGUUGUUGGAGAAGAACAGGUGUGAGAGUAACUGUUCACAUCUUGACGGUAUCCAACCAGAAAGCCACGGCUAACUACGUGCCAGCAGCCGCGGUAGUACGUAGGUGGCAAGCGUUGUCCGGAUUUAUUGGGCGUAAAGCGAGCGCAGGCGGUUUCUUAGGUCUGAUGUGAAAGCCUUCGGCUUAACCGGAGAAGUGCAUCGGAAACCAGGAGACUUGAGUGCAGAAGAGGACAGUGGAACUCCAUGUGUAGCGGUGAAAUGCGUAGAUAUAUGGAAGAACACCAGUGGCGAAGGCGGCUGUCUGGUCUGUAACUGACGCUGAGGCUCGAAAGCAUGGGUAGCGAACAGGAUUAGAUACCCUGGUAGUCCAUGCCGUAAACGAUGAGUGCUAAGUGUUGGAGGGUUUCCGCCCUUCAGUGCUGCAGCUAA